CCCAGACUCCUACGGGAGGCAGCAGUGGGGGAUAUUGCACAAUGGGGGGAACCCUGAUGCAGCGACGCCGCGUGGGUGAAGAAGCGCCUCGGCGCGUAAAGCCCUGUCAGCAGGGAAGAAAAUGACGGUACCUGAAGAAGAAGCCCCGGCUAACUACGUGCCAGCAGCCGCGGUAAUACGUAUGGAGCAAGCGUUAUCCGGAUUUACUGGGUGUAAAGGGAGCGCAGGCGGCGCGCCAAGUCUGAUGUGAAACCCCGGGGCUCAACCCCGGGACUGCAUUGGAAACUGGCGGGCUGGAGUGUCGGAGGGGCAGGCGGAAUUCCUGGUGUAGCGGCGAAAUGCGUAGAUAUCAGGAGGAACACCGGUGGCGAAGGCGGCCUGCUGGACGACAGCUGACGCUGAGGCUCGAAAGCGUGGGGAGCAAACAGGAUUAGAUACCCCAGUAAAA
Molecule: ribosomal RNA, 448 nt
Filed under: uncultured bacterium
Lineage: Bacteria
Description: bacterial SSU rRNA
Rfam family: Bacterial small subunit ribosomal RNA
Source: RNAcentral